UACGUAGGUGGCAAGCGUUGUCCGGAUUUACUGGGCGUAAAGAGCGCGCAGGCGGUCAGAUAAGUCGAAUGUGAAAGCCCCCGGCUUAACUGGGGAGGGUCAUUCGAUACUGUUCGACUCGAAGGCAGGAGAGGGAAGCGGAAUUCCCGGUGUAGUGGUGAAAUGCGUAGAUAUCGGGAGGAACACCAGUGGCGAAGGCGACUACCUGGCCUGUUCUUGACGCUGAGGCGCGAAAGCUAGGGGAGCAAACGGG
Molecule: ribosomal RNA, 253 nt
Filed under: uncultured bacterium
Lineage: Bacteria
Description: partial 16S ribosomal RNA
Rfam family: Bacterial small subunit ribosomal RNA
Source: RNAcentral